This 253-nucleotide ribosomal RNA is filed under the name uncultured bacterium. Its description in RNAcentral is "partial 16S ribosomal RNA". It matches the Rfam family "Bacterial small subunit ribosomal RNA", at positions 524 to 776 of the family's 1533-position model. The record is from RNAcentral.
UACGAAGGGUGCAAACGUUGCUCGGAAUCAUUGGGCGUAAAGCGCAUGUAGGCGGCCUUGUAAGUCGGAUGUGAAAUCCCACGGCUCAACCGUGGACGUGCAUUCGAAACUGCUCGGCUCGAGUAUGGAAGAGGGUCGCGGAAUUCCCGGUGUAGAGGUGAAAUUCGUAGAUAUCGGGAGGAACACCAGUGGCGAAGGCGGCGACCUGGGCCAAUACUGACGCUGAGGUGCGAAAGCGUGGGGAGCAAACAGG